CAGAAACGAGGAAGGACGUAGUAAUUGACGAAAUGCUUUGAGGAGUUGAAAAUAAGCAUAGAUUCGGAGAGUUUCGAAUAGGGCAACCUUUCGAACUGUUGUUGAAUCCAUGGGUAGGCAAGAGACAACCUGGUGAACUGAAACAUGUUAGUAGUCAGUGGAAAAGAAAGCAAAAGUGUUUCCGUAGUAGCGACGAGCGAAAUGGGAGCAGCCUAAACCUUCGUAUAUUUCAAUAUCUCUG
RNAcentral lists this non-coding RNA (241 nucleotides) under Solanum lycopersicum (tomato). RNAcentral's name for it is "Bacterial large subunit ribosomal RNA". It matches the Rfam family "Bacterial large subunit ribosomal RNA", at positions 46 to 289 of the family's 2925-position model. Lineage: Eukaryota; Viridiplantae; Streptophyta; Magnoliopsida; Solanales; Solanaceae. The record is from Rfam by way of RNAcentral.